Molecule: non-coding RNA, 309 nt
Organism: Taeniopygia guttata (zebra finch)
Lineage: Eukaryota; Metazoa; Chordata; Aves; Passeriformes; Estrildidae
Source: RefSeq, a predicted model, not a curated record
AGGCAUUAACGCCAGCGGGGCCGCCAUUGUGCCGGGCCCGGAAGUGACGUCACGCCGGUUGCCCCGAAGCGUUGCCUGGCAACGGCGUUUGUUGUUAGCAACGGCCAAGAUGGCGACGGGAGCGGCCCGGGUGUUCCAGCCUCACCUGUCCCACCUGCGGGCGUGUCCCCGGUGACGCUCUGGGCGCAGGUGAGGAACUCCCUCACCUGGGGGCCGCACUCGGUCGCGCUCCGCGGCCGCUCCCGCAGGCAGCGCUCGAAGGCGCCGAAGGAAUCGGAGCAAUCCCGGCGGAUCCGGCGCACCAGGGGG